UUCGUAAUUUCUAGUCCUUUGUUAGUUGCCGCAUGGUUAUACCUAGUCAGCCCGAGCUGCUAGUUUCCUAAUUUACUGGCGUUCAAUUGAUAUGAAUAUUGUGCUUGUUCAUUGGUUUUGUCGGUGUUUGGAUUGUAGAUAUCGGAAGUGGUGUGUGGAAAUGAGACUUUUUUUUUUGUUUGCCUUAUGCUUUUUCCCCUCUUGGCUCAUAGUGGCAAUGGAGAUGAGAGUUUUGCAGGCUCAGGCUGUUCCUGUUGGAAAAGCCCCACGAAUUUUGCCUCUGGUAUUAUCACAUCAGGAAAGAAAAAUUCUUUGUUUAUACUAUGUCUUUUAAACCAUCUGAUAAGUUACUGAAUCUAUUGCAGUGUAAGUGCGAUACAUACUAGAUCAUAUAAUGAUGAAAAUA
This is a long non-coding RNA of Rhodamnia argentea, 406 nucleotides long. RefSeq lists it as uncharacterized. The record is from RefSeq and is a predicted model, not a curated record. The transcript is spliced from 2 exons. Lineage: Eukaryota; Viridiplantae; Streptophyta; Magnoliopsida; Myrtales; Myrtaceae.